Molecule: non-coding RNA, 614 nt
Organism: Microcebus murinus (gray mouse lemur)
Lineage: Eukaryota; Metazoa; Chordata; Mammalia; Primates; Cheirogaleidae
Source: RefSeq, a predicted model, not a curated record
ACAUUUAUUCAACACUAGGAUUUUUCUCAGCAACUAUGGAGACUCAUUUGAAUAAAAAAAUGAGUCCUGAAGAAGAAUUCCAGUCACUGGGGAGAAUGGGGGAAUUAGGAUCAAUGAAGUCUAACAUUUGACAGGAAACAGACAUCAAGGAGAUAGAAGUAGAAGCUUAUUGAGAAGAAUGUCUGUGAAACAUAAAGGGGAGAAGAAGCAGGGGAGAAACUUAAGACUUUGAUGAAGGUAUGACACAUGUGAAAGAAGUUGGGGAAGAAGGAAGAUUGAGCAGAAAGAGCCUGAGACUGAGGUAUAUCUUUGAGAAUGUAUUGGGUGGCCUCAUGGGGAGCUUCAGCAGAAUGAUUGCCUUUACAUGUGCUCCAGAUGGGGCAGAGAUGGUCCAGCUCCAGUCAUCCUGCUGUGUUCAGUCAUUGGCUGGAAGUGGCCAAGGAAGAAGACACCCUUGACCUGAACACUGUGGUAGAUCCCUCAGGCACUGUGAAUGGAGGCUACCAGCUAGAUAGGCUACAUAGGGAAGAUUCUCACCUAGCAGAUCUGAAGGAAGUGACUGCUGUAAAUUCCUCACCCAUACUCGCUGAAAAGCUACAGGGCUCUGACCAUGU